UAGGGAAUCUUCCGCAAUGGACGCAAGUCUGACGGAGCAACGCCGCGUGAGUGAAGAAGGAUUUCGGUUCGUAAAACUCUGUUGUUAGAGAAGAACAGCGCAUAGAGUAACUGUUAUGCGUGUGACGGUAUCUAACCAGAAAGCCACGGCUAACUACGUGCCAGCAGCCGCGGUAAUACGUAGGUUGCAAGCGUUGUCCGGAUUUAUUGGGCGUAAAGCGAGCGCAGGCGGUCAAUUAAGUCUGAUGUGAAAGCCCCCGGCUCAACCGGGGAGGGUCAUUGGAAACGGGUUGACUUGAGUGCAGAAGAGGAGAGUGGAAUUCCAUGUGUAGCGGUGAAAUGCGUAGAUAUAUGGAGGAACACCAGUGGCGAAGGCGACUCUCUGGUCUGUAACUGACGCUGAGGCUCGAAAGCGUGGGUAGCAAACAGG
RNAcentral lists this ribosomal RNA (429 nucleotides) under Bacteroidota bacterium. RNAcentral's name for it is "Bacteroidetes bacterium partial 16S ribosomal RNA". It matches the Rfam family "Bacterial small subunit ribosomal RNA", at positions 355 to 776 of the family's 1533-position model. The record is from RNAcentral. Lineage: Bacteria; Pseudomonadati; Bacteroidota.